This 48-nucleotide non-coding RNA is filed under the name Schistosoma mansoni. Lineage: Eukaryota; Metazoa; Platyhelminthes; Trematoda; Strigeidida; Schistosomatidae. The record is from RNAcentral.
AUCCAGAUGACGAGUCCGAAGUGAGACGAAACGCGCGUCAAACUGGAU